GUCAAGAUCAGAACUGGGGAGCCUGGGUGUAAAUCGCUGCUGGGCCACUUACCAGCCAUGGAAGGACUUGUGGCAAUUUUAGCUUCCAAGGCACUGGGAGGACAGAAAACAGAACUGAAUCCAAGGGAAGGAAGCACAGGGAGAGAUGACAUCAGGCACCUGAGCUCAGCAGAUCAGACCCUAAGCCCAGGAAUCUGCAGUGGGAGUUCUGCCCACCCAGGUCCCAGUGACCUGCCGAGUGGGAAGAGCCGUGGCUGGCCGGCCUCCCAGUGGCGACGACGACCUCGCUGUGCUUGUGGCAGCGGCACUCUCAAAUCUGGGCACGGUGAUGGGAAGGUUAUUUGUUGGAAUCCCUUUGCCUUUCCAAGGGAAAAUAAACACAAAAAGUGAGAA
Long non-coding RNA from Pongo pygmaeus (Bornean orangutan), 393 nucleotides. RefSeq lists it as uncharacterized. The transcript has 3 exons. The record is from RefSeq and is a predicted model, not a curated record. Lineage: Eukaryota; Metazoa; Chordata; Mammalia; Primates; Hominidae.